This is a long non-coding RNA of Sander lucioperca (pikeperch), 197 nucleotides long. RefSeq lists it as uncharacterized. NCBI's taxonomy places the organism in Eukaryota, Metazoa, Chordata, Actinopteri, Perciformes, Percidae. The record is from RefSeq and is a predicted model, not a curated record. The transcript has 3 exons.
GUUAGGGUUACAUUCCGUCUGUAGUCCAUUGCUACUGGAUAAUAGGUUGGGUGUAAUUGGCUACCAAAUUGGGAGAAAGGGGGAUCAAAUCUGAUACAAAUUUAUGAAAAAGGAAAUGUGGAAACAUAAGGCCUAAUUUUGAUAAAAAUCUUAGAAAUUUUUUUUUGAAAUGUGGGAACAUAGGGCCUAAUUUUGGA